ACAAACUUGGUCAUUUAGAGGAAGUAAAAGUCGUAACAAGGUUUCCGUAGGUGAACCUGCGGAAGGAUCAUUACCGAGUGCGGGCCCUCUGGGUCCAACCUCCCACCCGUGUCUACUGUACCGUGUUGCUUCGGCGGGCCCGCCGUCCAGGCCGCCGGGGGGCAUCUCGCCCCCGGGCCCGCGCCCGCCGAAGACCCCACUGAACGCUGUCUGAAGUAUGCAGUCUGAGUACCAAUGCAAAUCGGUUAAAACUUUCAACAACGGAUCUCUUGGUUCCGGCAUCGAUGAAGAACGCAGC
Molecule: unclassified non-coding RNA, 298 nt
Filed under: uncultured fungus
Lineage: Eukaryota; Fungi
Description: partial contains small subunit ribosomal RNA, internal transcribed spacer 1, and 5.8S ribosomal RNA
Rfam family: Eukaryotic small subunit ribosomal RNA (bases 1-73)
Source: RNAcentral